CCCGCUCAAUCCAUUAAAACCGAACCGAACCGUGUGAUUCGGGUUGAACGGGUCGGGUCGAACGGAUGGAACGGGUCCAGGUGGCAACAUAUAUGGGUUGAGAUAUUAAAUAGGGUCGGUUUGUGGGUGAUGGAAUACGACCCAUCGGUUAUCCGAACCGAACCGAAGUUAUUAUUAUUUAUUAUUAUUAUUAUUAUUUUGCUAUUUAGGAAUCAUACUAUAAAUAUCAAAGGUAACUCUUGAACCCUAGAUCUGCUUUUCUCUCUCUCUCGGCGGCUGCUCUCUGUUUCUUCUCAGUUUAAGAUUGAAAGAUUACUUGAUUUGCUAGAUUUUGGACCUUUGAUUUUUAUGAUUAGUUAAGGGUUUUCUGUUUUGGUACUGGGAUCCUAGAUGUUCUCUUCCUCUGCUCUCUGUUUUGGUCUUCUCUUUCAUCAUGUCUUGUUCUUUUAGUGAUGUUCCACUGAUGUCUUCAAUAGAUGCUUGUUUGGUUGGUAGUACUCUUAAAUUUAUGACUAUUUAAGUUUGAUUAGUAUCUAUAGUAAUCUAGAGGUUUUUUUUGUUCUUAUUUAUGCUAUUAUAUAAGUGUGUGUGUGGUAGAGUGAAAUUGUUAAUCUAUAUGCAUACGUAUAUGUUAACUUUGUAGAAACCUACUAUCCUUAUUACAAUUUAAACUUUUCAUUCUACUUAUGAUCCUUAGGUAGUGACUUGAUUUUAACUCCUAAAUAACAAAACAACAAUGAUGCACACACAGUGUUGUUAAACAGCACCUACAGCAGCACUAUACCUCUAUCUAUAACAUUGUGGGAUUUGGACAAGCCGUUAUUGUUCUACAAUAUGCUAAUUAUGUGAUCCAAUGGAGGAUUUAUUCAGUUUAUACCUAAUUAAUACUCUAAUGCCUCCAAACUCUGGAAUUAUGUGGUUCAAUGGAGGAUUUAUAUUCAGUUUAUGUUAUUUAGAUUAUGUUCAGUUUAUGAAUGAUAAAAGAAUGCAAAGAACAA
This is a long non-coding RNA of Trifolium pratense (red clover), 998 nucleotides long. RefSeq lists it as uncharacterized. Lineage: Eukaryota; Viridiplantae; Streptophyta; Magnoliopsida; Fabales; Fabaceae. The record is from RefSeq and is a predicted model, not a curated record. The transcript is spliced from 2 exons.